This 496-nucleotide ribosomal RNA is filed under the name uncultured bacterium. Its description in RNAcentral is "partial 16S ribosomal RNA". It matches the Rfam family "Bacterial small subunit ribosomal RNA", at positions 29 to 507 of the family's 1533-position model. The record is from RNAcentral.
AUGAACGCUGGCGGCGUGCCUAAUCCAUGCAAGUCGAGCGAACAGACGAGGAGCUUGCUCCUCUGACGUUAGCGGCGGACGGGUGAGUAACACGUGGAUAACCUACCUAUAAGACUGGGAUAACUUCGGGAAACCGGAGCUAAUACCGGAUAAUAUAUUGAACCGCAUGGUUCAAUAGUGAAAGACGGUUUUGCUGUCACUUAUAGAUGGAUCCGCGCCGCAUUAGCUAGUUGGUAAGGUAACGGCUUACCAAGGCAACGAUGCGUAGCCGACCUGAGAGGGUGAUCGGCCACACUGGAACUGAGACACGGUCCAGACUCCUACGGGAGGCAGCAGUAGGGAAUCUUCCGCAAUGGGCGAAAGCCUGACGGAGCAACGCCGCGUGAGUGAUGAAGGUCUUCGGAUCGUAAAACUCUGUUAUUAGGGAAGAACAAAUGUGUAAGUAACUAUGCACGUCUUGACGGUACCUAAUCAGAAAGCCACGGCUAACUACGCG